GCUGGGUGCGGUGGCAUGUACCUGUAAUCCAAGUCACUGGGAGGCUGAAGUUGGUGGAUCAAGUGAGCUGAGGAGCUCUGGGCUGCAGCACACUAUGUGGAACGGGUGUCCACGCUAAGUUCGGUAUCGAUAUGGUGUUCCUGGGGGAGCCCGGGACCACCAGCUUGUCUAAGGAGGGGUGAACCGGCCCAGGUCGGAAACGAAGCAGGUCAAAUCCCCUGUGCUGUCCAGUAGUGGGAUAAUACCUGUGAGUAGAUGCUGCAGUGCAGCCUUGGCGAAACAUCGAGACCUAAUCUUUC
This 299-nucleotide signal recognition particle RNA is filed under the name Oncorhynchus kisutch (coho salmon). RNAcentral describes it as "Metazoan signal recognition particle RNA (ENSOKIG00005032790.1)". It matches the Rfam family "Metazoan signal recognition particle RNA". Rfam says of the family: The signal recognition particle (SRP) is a universally conserved ribonucleoprotein. It is involved in the co-translational targeting of proteins to membranes. The record is from Rfam by way of RNAcentral. Lineage: Eukaryota; Metazoa; Chordata; Actinopteri; Salmoniformes; Salmonidae.